RNAcentral lists this ribosomal RNA (861 nucleotides) under uncultured bacterium. RNAcentral describes it as "bacterial SSU rRNA". It matches the Rfam family "Bacterial small subunit ribosomal RNA", at positions 41 to 898 of the family's 1533-position model. The record is from RNAcentral.
GGCAUGCCUUACACAUGCAAGUCGUACGGCAGCACGGGGGCAACCCUGGUGGCGAGUGGCGAACGGGUGAGUAAUACAUCGGAACGUGCCUAGUGGUGGGGGAUAGCCCGGCGAAAGCCGGAUUAAUACCGCAUACGACCUAUGGGUGAAAGCGGGGGACCGCAAGGCCUCGCGCCAUCGGAGCGGCCGAUGUCAGAUUAGGUAGUUGGUAGGGUAAAGGCCUACCAAGCCGACGAUCUGUAGCUGGUCUGAGAGGACGACCAGCCACACUGGGACUGAGACACGGCCCAGACUCCUACGGGAGGCAGCAGUGGGGAAUUUUGGACAAUGGGCGCAAGCCUGAUCCAGCCAUGCCGCGUGCGGGAAGAAGGCCUUCGGGUUGUAAACCGCUUUUGUCAGGGAAGAAACGCGCCGAAUUAAUACGUUGGCGUAAUGACGGUACCUGAAGAAUAAGCACCGGCUAACUACGUGCCAGCAGCCGCGGUAAUACGUAGGGUGCGAGCGUUAAUCGGAAUUACUGGGCGUAAAGCGUGCGCAGGCGGUUAUGCAAGACAGAUGUGAAAUCCCCGGGCUUAACCUGGGAAUUGCAUUUGUGACUGCACAGCUGGAGUGCGGCAGAGGGGGAUGGAAUUCCGCGUGUAGCAGUGAAAUGCGUAGAUAUGCGGAGGAACACCGAUGGCGAAGGCAAUCCCCUGGGCCUGCACUGACGCUCAUGCACGAAAGCGUGGGGAGCAAACAGGGUUAGAUACCCUGGUAGUCCACGCCCUAAACGAUGUCAACUGGUUGUUGGACGGCUUGCUGUUCAGUAACGAAGCUAACGCGUGAAGUUGACCGCCUGGGGAGUACGGCCGCAAGGUUGAA